Molecule: ribosomal RNA, 497 nt
Filed under: uncultured bacterium
Lineage: Bacteria
Description: partial 16S ribosomal RNA
Rfam family: Bacterial small subunit ribosomal RNA
Source: RNAcentral
GAUGAACGCUGGCGGCGUGCCUAAUACAUGCAAGUCGAGCGAACAGAUAAGGAGCUUGCUCCUUUGACGUUAGCGGCGGACGGGUGAGUAACACGUGGGUAACCUACCUAUAAGACUGGAAUAACUCCGGGAAACCGGGGCUAAUGCCGGAUAACAUUUAGAACCGCAUGGUUCUAAAGUGAAAGAUGGUUUUGCUAUCACUUAUAGAUGGACCCGCGCCGUAUUAGCUAGUUGGUAAGGUAACGGCUUACCAAGGCAACGAUACGUAGCCGACCUGAGAGGGUGAUAGGCCACACUGGAACUGAGACACGGUCCAGACUACUACGGGAGGCAGCAGUAGGGAAUCUUCCGCAAUGGGCGAAAGCCUGACGGAGCAACGCCGCGUGAGUGAUGAAGGUCUUCGGAUCGUAAAACUCUGUUAUUAGGGAAGAACAAAUGUGUAAGUAACUGUGCACGUCUUGACGGUACCUAAUCAGAAAGCCACGGCUAACUACGUG